RNAcentral lists this long non-coding RNA (2115 nucleotides) under Prunus dulcis (almond). Its description in RNAcentral is "sRNA ncRNA". The record is from RNAcentral. Lineage: Eukaryota; Viridiplantae; Streptophyta; Magnoliopsida; Rosales; Rosaceae.
UUGAAAGGAAGCUAGCAUCUUUGGUUGAAAAAAAUGAAGGUGUUCCUGCUGAAGUAAUUUCUACUUGAUUUCAAUUUGCCUAUAAAACUUGUUGACUGGUGCUCAACAAGUUGGGUUUUUGUAGCUUGAAUUGGCGUAUAAUUUAGGUUCGCUUUUUGCAUGUGAGUGUUUUAAUGGAUUGGAUGUUCUACCUGUAUGUUUGUCAAAUCUCAAUCAUGUUUUUGAGAUGAGUUGUGCAGUAGUGUUGGUUGAAAUUAAUAUGUUAUUUAUUCAUUGAAAGCAUAUUGUUUCCCGACGGUGAGUAUGUGACCAAAUUAUAAUUUGUUGCAAUUUUGUCUUGACAAUUUAUGUUUCUUUCUCUUUUUCUUUUCAAGUUGUACAAGGAGAAGAAAAGCCGCACAACUCGUUUCCCUGUGAAGAACAAAUUUGAGGUUAACAGUUACACAAUGUGUUUUAGCUGGGUUUGAUGGGUUUGAUUUUGUUUGGUGGGUAAUGCUUGAUUUUUAUCAUUGUGAUAAUUGUGAUGAUGGGAUGGAUAUGGAGCUUAAUUUUGCUACUGGUUUGGCCAAUUUUGGAUUUUGGUUUUUCUUACUUUAAAACAAAAAUUGUUUCUUCACUAAGUGUAGUUCAAUCUGAUAAAACUGACAAUGCAAAAUGUUUCACAAAUGUUUAAUUUCAUAAUGGGUAAUUUCAAACUUUUGUGAAUGAGGUCUGCAUUGGAAUUGUAAUUAAUCAAGCCUUGUGUUUGAUAUACUCAUCACAGGUAGGAAGCUUUUUUUUUUAUUUUAAAUUUCGGGUAUCCAUCCCAUUUAUGAACUUCCGCCAUAAGUAAUUAGGUUAAUGAAUCUAAACUUCAUGCCUUUGAAUAUUCAUCCCGUAAAAUCUGUGUACUUUUGUUGCAGUGAGUUCUGUAGCAUGGUAAGGAAGAUUUUUAUCUAUACAAUAGAGGAAAUCAAGAGGUUGUCACCCAAGAUAAAAUUUACACUCAAUGAAGAGGUCAAACCAGGAAAGCCAGAUUCUGAAGCAGCAAUCAACAUCGAAGACCAGUCAUCCAUUGUGGGACCUGCAUACUGAUCUGCCCCGUUGUCUCUAGCUAUAUAAUGAAAAAUUGGAAAAAAAAUUGGAAAAUGGAACUUGAUUGUCACAUGAGAUUCUGUCUGCUAGGAUGAUGCUAUCUAUGACAAAGUACACAUGCUGGAAGAAUUGGUUGAGUUUCCCUGCAUGCUAAGAUGGAGGGGGGCAGUGGCCUGUAAUGCGCAUGCAAUCUGGAGAGUCACUACUCGUGACAGGGUUUGGGUGUUAUGGUUAUUGGUUGUCUAGUUUUGCCAAGAGGAUCUCAUAGUGCUUGCUUGUUUGGGCGAAUUGAGUCAGUGGUAGUCCUACUGGAGCAGCUCAAGUCCUCUGAUUAUAUUGAUCAACAAGAAUACGAUGCCUGCAAAUGAAAUAAAGGAGCUUUUCUGGUAAUGAACUUUACUUUUGGACACACAAAUGCGCAAUGAACUUUACUGUCUUUGAUGACAUUUUGUGUUAUUUGUUUGAUAGGAAGGUGAUGCUGCUGUUGCCGUCGCUGAGGAGGUGAAGAAGAACAACCAUGUAGUAAGAAAGUUGGAGAGAAGAAGAACAACCAUGUAGUAAGAAAGUUGGAGAAGUGUCAACAGAUUUGCACCCUUGACCAACAUUUGGAAGAGCAAUUUGGUGGUGGUCGUCUAUUGGCUUGUAUCUCAUCACGACCUGGACAGUGGCUGUGCUGAUGGGUAUGCGACUUUAUUUGCCUAUGUUUGUUUCUAGUCAGCAGAUUUGUCAUAGGCAUAUUAGUGUAGUUACCUUAUUGCAAGGGCUGAAAUCUGGAUGAUAUCAGCUUCUUUUUAUUGUUGUUUUAAAGUGAGGUAUGUAUGGGUCUUAUGAAAUUUUUACAGAAAUAUAUUGGAGGGCAAAUAAUUUUAUUUUAGUUUUUUAUUCCCAAAUGAUACCCAAAACAUGUAAGCUUCACACUAUGUUAAUUUCUGCAGGAUGGGAAAACAUUGGACAAUGAGUUGGAGGUUGUUGAGGGAAUGAAGCUAGAUAGGGGCUACAUAUCCCCUUAUUUCAUCACCAACCAGAACAAUCAGAAAUGUG